RNA transcript from Pezoporus occidentalis (night parrot), 5020 nucleotides. It is a transcript of the gene named MN1 proto-oncogene, transcriptional regulator, with no coding region annotated. The transcript is spliced from 3 exons. NCBI's taxonomy places the organism in Eukaryota, Metazoa, Chordata, Aves, Psittaciformes, Psittacidae. The record is from RefSeq and is a predicted model, not a curated record.
GAGCGAGGGAGCGCGGCGGGGAGCGCGGCGCAGCCCUCCCAGCGCCCGCACGCAGCGCCGGCCCCGCCGCCACGGCCCCGCUGCCGCCGCCGGAGCCCUGCGAACCGCGGGCAGCGCACGGCGGGCCGGCGAUGCGGCGCACAGCUCCCGGACGCCGGAGCCUAUGAGCGGCGGCACGCCGCCCCGUCGGCUCUCGGGCAGCGCGGCGCAGGGGGGGCAGCUAGCGGAGAGCCGCCGGGGCGAGCGCGGGCGGGCGGCCGAUGCCAGCGGCGCGGAGGCGCGGCAGGAUGUGAGCGGGGCGGCCGAGCAUCGCGGAGCGGGACGGCGGAGCGGAGCAGCCAUGCCCUGCUGAGGAGCCGCGCAGGAUGUUCGGGCUGGAGCAGUUCGAGCCGCAGAGCAGCAGCCGGAGCGGCGGACAGGCGGAGCGGGGCUUCGGCCAGCCCGGACUGAGCAUGAGCGCGCACUUCAAGGCGCCGGCCUUCCCCGGCGGCGGCCCGGCGGCAGCGGCGGCGGUGGACCCGGCCCUGGGCGCGCUGGGAGAGCCGCCCCUCCUGGGCAUGAACAUGAGCCUGCCCGCGGACGCCUACGGGUUCCCGGGCCGCGGCCCCGCCGAGCUGCACGGCGGCGGCAUGCAGCCGCCGGUGCACGGCUUCUUCGGCGGGCAGACGGCGCACGGCGGCCACGGCGGCGGCCACCACCCGCACCAGCACCCCCCGCACUUCGGCGGUAACUUCGGGCCCGACCCUGGCGCCUCCUGCGUGCACGGCGGCCGGCUCCUGGGCUACAGCGGCGCGCUGGGCGGGCAGACGGCGUUCGCCGACGGCUACGAGCACAUGGCCGACGGCCAGGGAGGCGAGGGCUUCGGGCAGCAGCGCCCCGGGAACCUGCCCGACUUCCAGCACCACAGCGCCGGCGGCUCCAGCCACGCCGUGCCGGCUCCCUGCCUGCCCCUCGACCAGUCUCCCAACCGCGCAGCCUCUUUCCACGGGCUGCCGGCGGCCGGCUCCUCCGAGCCCCACGGCCUGGAGCAGCGGCGGCUGCCCGCGCAGGGCAGCGUGGACUCGCUGGAAUACAAUUACCCUGGCGACGGCCCCGCCGGCCACUUCGAGCUGCCCGUGUUCUCACCGUCGGAGCCCGAGGGGCAGCUGCCGCACUAUGGUGGCGGGCGGCAGGUGCCAGCGGGCGGCAACUUCGCCGGAGCACCCGCCCUGCCUCGAGCACCGGGCAUGGCCGUGGCCAAGGCGCACCCGCCACAGCAGCACGGCGUCUUCUUCGAGCGCUUUGGGGGGACGCGGAAGAUGUCCGCCAGCCUGGAGCCGGGGGCCAGCGCCAGGCACCCGCUGAUGCAGCAGCAGCAGCAGCCACCGCAACCGCCGCAGCAGCCGCCACCGGGCUUGCUGGCCAGACAGAACUCCUGCCCGCCAGCCAUCCCUAGGCAACAGCAAACAGAAGCCAACGCUCCCAACCCCAACCUGCAGGACAAUGGGCCCAUAAUGCAGAACCAGCAUGCACAGUUUGAAUACCCUAUUCACAGACUGGAGAACAGGAAUAUGCAUCCCUACACCGACCCCGUGUUUAAUAUGCAGCACCCUCCUCCGCCACAGCCACCAAAUCAAAGACUGCAGCACUUCGAUGCCCCUUACGUGAGCGUCGCCAAGAGGCCGCGGUUCGACUUCCCUGGCAACCCUGGCGUCGAGCGCUGCACCUCCUGGGGCAGCGGCAUGCAUGGCCCAGCCAUGGAGAGCCACCUCUCCCCAACGGCCUACCCCGGCCUGCCUGGCGACUUCACUCCGCCGGCACCCGAGGCCUUCGGGGGGCCGCUGCCACAUGGUGGCCCCGAGCACCCGGCGCUGGCACAGCGCCAGAACGCGGCGCUGGUGAUGAAGCAGAUGGCCUCGCGCAGCCAGCAGCGCCUGCGGCCGCCCAGCCUGCAGCAGCUGGGGCACCACGGUGAGGUGGGCCCGCCCGGCGGCCUGCCCCCGCCUGCCUUCGAGCGCGAGGCCAGCAGCGGCCGUGGCUUCGACCCGCCAGCACCGCAUCUGGCCCCCGACAGCGCCUGGUUUGCGGGGCCGCCGCCACCCGGGGAGCUGCUGCCGCGGCGCAUGGCGGCACCGGGGCUGCCGGCCGAGGCGGCCCCCCAUGAGCUGGGCCUACAGCCGGGCAGCACUGCCGUGCUGUUCCGGCCGGGCGCCAGCGGGCUGGGGCUGCAGGAGCCGCUGCGGAUGGCAGGCGAGGGGCCAGCACAGGCCCUGCCCUCUCCUGGCGUCCACCAGCCCUUCGCGCCUGCCAUGGGUGGCCUCUCGCAGCUGCAGUCGCCGGGCAGUGGCGUGGCGCUGCCCAGUGCACCUGCCGAGCGCCGUGGCCCUGCUGACUUUGCUGCCCAGCCCGGCUUCCCCUUCGCGGCAGCGGCGCGGCAGCCAGCGGCCCACGGGGCUGGGCCUGCGCUCAGCGCCUCGCCGGGCGCGUACCCGCCAGCCCCGUCCGAGUUCCCCCCACCACCGCCGCCGCGGCCCGCCGCCAGCAAGCUGGGCGCCCUCUCCCUGGGCUCCUUCAGCAAGCCGGCCAGCAAGGACAACGUCUUCGGGCAGAGCUGCCUGGCCGCCCUCUCCACCGCCUGCCAGAACAUGAUCGCCAGCCUGGGUGCCCCCAACCUCAACGUCACCUUCAACAAGAAGAGCCCGGCCGAGGCCAAGCGCAAGCUCAGCCAGGCCGAGCCCGACCCGCCGCCGCCCGCCGCCCAGGACUACUUCCCACCAGGGCCGCCAGCUGGUGGGGGAGCCGCAGGCAAGGCGCCGGGCACGGCCCCGCUGCUGCCCGCCGAGAGCAGCCUCUCGCCCGGCUUCGCGCUGGAGCCGGCGGCUGGCGGCGAGGGGAAGGCGGGUGGUGGGCGGGGGCGGGGCCGCCGGAAACGGGACAGCGGGCACGUCAGCCCCGGCACCUUCUUCGAGAAGUUCUCGGCCACCGAGGGCAGCGGGGCCGGUGUCAGCCCGGGGCAGCCGGCGGCCGCGGGGGGCCCGCCGGGGGCCGCGGGCACAGAGCGUGGUGGGGGCACCCCCCAUGACAAGCCCCUGACCUCGCCAUCCUGGGGCAAGGGCGGCGAGCUGCUGCUGGCGGAGCAGCCCGACCUGAUGUCCUCCCUGGACAGCGGCAUCCAGAGCGUGACCAAGUCGGACGGCAGCUCCCCGCACGUGGACUUUCCCGACGAGGUCAGCACCAGCUACGGCAAUGAGGACGAGGUGUCCUCCAGCUCCGACAACGCCGCCUCCAAGCCCACCCGCAGCCCGCUGCUGGGCGGCUCGCCCAAGCUGCCCCGUGGGGAGCACGCACUUCUCAACGGACAGAAGCCCCUGGCCCUUGGCCUCCUCAGUACGUCUACCUCGACCCCUGACAGCUACGGGCUCAGCACCACAGCGGGCGCACACCCUGGCACGCCGAGCAUGGAGCAGGUGCGGACCCCCACCAGCACCUCGGCCCAGGAUGAGAUCCACCCCCUGGAGAUCCUGCAGGCGCAGAUCCAGCUCCAGCGGCAGCAGUUCAGCAUCUCGGAAGACCAGCCCUUGGGGCUGAAGAGCAAGAAGGGGGAGUGCGCAGGGCAGAACGGGGACAGCGACCUGGGCAGCUGCUGCUCAGAGGGCGUCAAGGGCCCCAUGAGCACCAUCGACCUGGACUCCCUCAUGGCGGAGCACAACUCCACCUGGUACCUGCCUGGUGAGAAGGCCCUGAUGGAAGGGCAGGAGGAGGACAAGCCCAUGGUGCCCUGGGAGAAGCCCAAGCCCCCGAAUCCCAGCAAAGAAGCCCACGACCUUCCCCCGAGCAAGACGUCGGCGGCGCAGACGGGCAGCCACCUGCAGUGCCUCUCGGUCCACUGCACGGACGACGUGGGCGAGGCGAAGGGCCGGACUGCGGUGCCGACGUGGAGGUCCCUGCACUCGGACAUCUCCAACAGAUUUGGAACUUUCGUGGCCGCCCUGACUUGAACAAAAGAAAUUAUUUUUUUUCUCUUUUUAAUUUCAAAGGGCCGCUACUGCUAGGUGGACUAUUUUUCUAGCUGGAGCUGCCACGAGGAUGAGGAUUUUUGCCCAUCCUGGAGCAAUUGGCUUGGAGCUGCCUCACACCCACUUGGUUUGAACAAAAGGAUGGGAUGGUUCUGAGUCCUGUGCCUUCUGUAGGUGUACGCUUGCUGUCGAAAGCUCAGAGCUCCUCCCUGUACCUGCAAUAAAACAUCACCAUCCCACUGAAAUAUCUCUUGGUAGGUAAUAAUUUCCAGCCCCCACUCUGCAAGAUGCCCCUUUGCCUGUGAUUUAAGUCCUGGUUCACCCAAAGUGGUGUUGAACCUGAAAUCCUGCCUGGCAAAGCUGUGCCUGCCGGGAGUGAUGCUGUGGUGGGCUUGGUCCUUGGCUCCUGCCCCAUCCUGGCAGCUCCUGCCUAUAUCAGCCAGGUGAGUCUUGGAGGAACCCCAGCAAAACACUUGCCUAGAUCUAUGAUACCGCAUUUCAGUGCUUACAGCUGAAAAUCUAGGAAGAGUUCGUGGUCCAGUGGCAUUCCUGCAUGGAGUGCAGCCCCAUGGCCAACUUCUUUGUUUUUAGUUUUUCCUGCUGCAUUCAGGAGAACAGGUUUUUCAGGCUUCCUGAGGUCAGGGAUGCACACCCUGCUACCAGGAAGAGACCUCUCCGUGAACGCAUCCAGCAUUUCAGAUCUGUUUUAAAGAGAAAUCCUCCUUGAAGCAGAAAAGUGGUGACUUAGUUGGUCUCACCCACCCUUUUCUUCUGGUUUGCUCUCUGCAGCUUGUACUCCUCUCCUGCAGUUGUCCUCAUCCACUUGGGACUGACUUCUUCACUUGCUCAUAGAAAUACAGAGUGGGAGUGAUUCUUUAACCCCCCCUGGAAUCCUGACAGUUUCCAGUCCUGUGAGGUGAGGAGGGCUGUGCUGAAGCCAGGGACUCUGCUUCUUGCCAAGAGUCAGAACAGAAACGGUACAUAUCACUGACCAGGAAGAGCAUCGCUUCAUGCUCACAACCUGG